GAUGAAGAACGUAGCGAAAUGCGAUAAGUAAUGUGAAUUGCAGAAUUCCGUGAAUCAUCGAAUUUUUGAACGCAUAUUGCGCCCUCUGGUAUUCCGAAGGGCAUGCCUGUUCGAGCGUCAUUAUCACCCCUCAAGCCCUCGGCUUGGUGUUGGACGGUUUGGUGGAGGCCCCCUCGGGGGUUCCUGCCCCUCCCAAAGACAAUGACGGCGGCCUCGUUGGACCCCCGGUACACUGAGUUCUUCACGGGACACGUAUCGGACACAUGGGUUUACGGGACACGGUCUGCCUCCCCUCAGGGAGAAUCUUUCUAAGGUUGACCUCGGAUCAGGUAGGGAUACCCGCUGAACUUAAGCAUAUCAAUAAGCGGAGGA
RNAcentral lists this unclassified non-coding RNA (372 nucleotides) under soil metagenome. RNAcentral's name for it is "partial contains 5.8S ribosomal RNA, internal transcribed spacer 2, and large subunit ribosomal RNA". The stretch from base 1 to 120 matches the Rfam family "5.8S ribosomal RNA", at positions 35 to 154 of the family's 154-position model. The record is from RNAcentral.